This is a long non-coding RNA of Lolium rigidum, 817 nucleotides long. RefSeq lists it as uncharacterized. The transcript has 5 exons. The record is from RefSeq and is a predicted model, not a curated record. NCBI's taxonomy places the organism in Eukaryota, Viridiplantae, Streptophyta, Magnoliopsida, Poales, Poaceae.
GGACGACGACGAGGACGGGCUCCUGGUGCCGGCGCUGCUCGCGCGGCUCGCCGGCACGGGCGACGCCGAGGUCAGGGUCCUCGUCAUGGCCGCCUUGCGCCGGCUCGCGGGCUUCGCGGGCGGACAGAGCAAGAUAUGAUGCACCGGUUCUGGAAGAAAGAGCUUGACUCUGGGUGCGAAAAUUGGAUGGACGGCUUUGUCGUUUUGGCUGUUCUAACCAUCAAGCUCAAGUUUAAGUUAUUAGGUACUUGAUCGAGCAUAUGCUAUAUCUAAGACAUGGAAUGGUGCUAUGGUAAUACUCUCCGGGUAUUUCAACACUACACUUAAGGACUCGACUUGCUUCUCGAUGUUCUGGUUUCGGUGAGCCCGAAACAUCAACAGGAAUGUUCCAUGGCACUGUACAAAAUGGGGGCCAAAGCUGCAGAACCUUGCCUAUGGAUGCACCAAAUCCAUCUUUAACACCACAGGUUAGCAUAAAAAAGGAUGCAGGUUCAUAAGCAUGUUGAGCCGGCUGUAGCGAGGCUGCCGAAGUUCAGAUAUGUUGUUCGACCAGUUCAGAAGGUGGUUUUGAUAAUAGCCAUACUCUGUGUUGUUUUUGUGGGUCAAGUCGGCAAAGUUUACUUCGUCCGCACAAUCAGUUCACCUUGUUUUUAAAAAAAUAAAAGUUUAGAGAUUUAAUUUAUCAAUUCAAUUUAAAACAUUUGGUAUGUUGAUUUUGUUGCGAGAUUGACUUGUGAGAAUAAUUGGGAGUUUUGCAUGUGAUUCUUGAAAAUAAAGUUCAGAAAUUAAGCUUAAGAAAACUUCACAAAUGGUAGCU